GGAUUGUGGCACAGUGGUAGCGCACUUGCCUAGCAUGCAUGAGGCACUGGGUUCAAUUCUCAGCACCA
RNAcentral lists this transfer RNA (68 nucleotides) under Marmota monax (woodchuck). RNAcentral's name for it is "tRNA.Ala". The stretch from base 5 to 65 matches the Rfam family "tRNA", at positions 6 to 65 of the family's 71-position model. From Rfam's summary of the family: Transfer RNA (tRNA) molecules are approximately 80 nucleotides in length. Their secondary structure includes four short double-helical elements and three loops (D, anti-codon, and T loops). Further hydrogen bonds mediate the characteristic L-shaped molecular structure. tRNAs have two regions of fundamental functional importance: the anti-codon, which is responsible for specific mRNA codon recognition, and the 3' end, to which the tRNAs corresponding amino acid is attached (by aminoacyl-tRNA synthetases). tRNAs cope with the degeneracy of the genetic code in two manners: having more than one tRNA (with a specific anti-codon) for a particular amino acid; and 'wobble' base-pairing, i.e. permitting non-standard base-pairing at the 3rd anti-codon position. The record is from RNAcentral. Lineage: Eukaryota; Metazoa; Chordata; Mammalia; Rodentia; Sciuridae.